GUCUGGCACUGUGCUCAGACAUCUUCCAUCCAGCCACAACAAACAAGCAUUAUACAGUGUGUCUGCUUUAUUUAUUUCUUAAGUUAGAGUAUACACGGAGUCCAGCCAGAAUAUAGUGGGCACACAGCCGUGCCCAUCAGUACAUCACAUUAGGAAAAUAGCUUUCAUAAUGCAUUUCAACUGCAGUAACACCGUUCUGGAAGGAAAAGUCCCCUCGAGCAAAGCUGUCUACGUAUGAGAGGGUUUUAGAGGCAGCUUCCCCAAAAGAGUCUUUGUUCUUUUUUAAGCGACCCCUUGAUGCAAGGAGUGUUUCCCAGCCCGGGAAGAGAAGCACAGCGAGGACAGGGAGUCUAAAAUCACACUUCAGAGAGAGACAGACUUCUUGCCAUUUCGUGUGACACAAACUGACUGUCCCUUUGGACAAGGACCAGCCACAGCUGGCACCGAGUCUCCACAGGGCAGGGCCGAGACUUUGUUUCUGGUUCCACUGCUCCUAGUGGCAAGCAGUGCCCUCAGGUUACCAGCACCAAGUGUUGUAAGCAUGAGUUAAAUGACCCUCUGUGCCCACGCAGUCCAUGGGGCUCUUUCUGAUGGUCUGGGCAUCCCAGGGGGAGCGAUGGGCUCCACGCUCAAAUCCACAGUGACGUGAGGUAGCUGGAGAACAAGGUGAGGGAUGGCCCUCCGCCAGCCCCCGGCCUCCGCUCCCGCCCAGACGUGCUGCUUCUCGGCUGAGAAGCUCCAGGGCGGCAAAGGAGAGAGUCGGAUGCCAGGCAGCGCACCGUGUAGGAGCCGAUACACGUGAGGGGACAUGCAGGGCACGUGUUCCAAAUACCUUUCCCCAUAAUAAAAUCAUCUUAAAAAAACAUAAUUUAAAGGAAGUGUCAAAGCUGAGUGUAAAGUCAAAGCUGUCAAUUCUCUCAGUCCGAAGGCUGUCUUGAAGAAGCACCCCUGUUUAAAAAUAAAUGAAGCAAUUAAUUAUAUGAUGUAUGUUAAAGUAGAAAAGUUAGAACUUAUAGUCAGCUGCUAUGGUGC
RNAcentral lists this long non-coding RNA (1032 nucleotides) under Equus asinus (donkey). RNAcentral's name for it is "lncRNA (ENSEASG00005033382.1)". Lineage: Eukaryota; Metazoa; Chordata; Mammalia; Perissodactyla; Equidae. The record is from RNAcentral.